Molecule: ribosomal RNA, 144 nt
Filed under: Pseudomonadaceae bacterium
Lineage: Bacteria; Pseudomonadati; Pseudomonadota; Gammaproteobacteria; Pseudomonadales; Pseudomonadaceae
Description: partial 16S ribosomal RNA
Rfam family: Bacterial small subunit ribosomal RNA
Source: RNAcentral
ACAAUGGGCGAAAGCCUGAUCCAGCCAUGCCGCGUGUGUGAAGAAGGUCUUCGGAUUGUAAAGCACUUUAAGUUGGGAGGAAGGGCAGUAAGCGAAUACCUUGCUGUUUUGACGUUACCGACAGAAUAAGCACCGGCUAACUCU